UCCAAUAAUUGACAGUUUUCCAUCUUCUCCAAGAACAAGCCCAAACCCAACAUGGCUAGUUUUUGGAUACUUACUAUCAUCAGCUGGAAGCCAACCGGCUCGUUUGGCAGCCUGAAAAACAUCCCUAAGCUCUCAGCAUCAACUCCGGCAGGCAAGGUAUCUAAUACAAAGAUACGAUGAACCAUGAGUGUAAGACAUUCAGACUUACAGCAAAAAGCAUUUCAAAGUGCUCUCUUUGGCCAACAUCAGUGAGAUAUUCAGAGAAUUGCAGUUUGCAGGGCAGAGAGGGCACAACGAAGAUGAGCAGACCACAAUUAAUUCAUAGGAGUAUCUGCGAUUGAGAAGCAGCAGCAUGCAUCAACGCCACUACGAAUUUCUUCAGAUUUUUAAUUUCAUGUCUGAGAAAGACACUGUUGCUGUUGGAGAGAUGAAUGAUUAAAGUUUGUGUGGUGCUGCUGGAGUCCAAAAUCCGACAAAAAGCUAAUUUUACAUACUCCACUUUUUUGCUGAAACUCUAAUAAUUUUGCACUCAAAUAUUCAAAUAUUAUAGUAUGCCAUUUAUUUUUCAAUUAUAUCAUGAAAAUUUGACUUUCA
Molecule: long non-coding RNA, 594 nt
Organism: Salvia miltiorrhiza (redroot sage)
Lineage: Eukaryota; Viridiplantae; Streptophyta; Magnoliopsida; Lamiales; Lamiaceae
Exons: 2
Source: RefSeq, a predicted model, not a curated record